This 497-nucleotide ribosomal RNA is filed under the name uncultured bacterium. Its description in RNAcentral is "partial 16S ribosomal RNA". It matches the Rfam family "Bacterial small subunit ribosomal RNA", at positions 28 to 507 of the family's 1533-position model. The record is from RNAcentral.
GAUGAACGCUGGCGGCGUGCCUAAUACAUGCAAGUCGAGCGAACAGGCGAGGAGCUUGCUCCUCUGACGUUAGCGGCGGACGGGUGAGUAACACGUGGAGAACCUACCUAUAAGACUGGGAUAACUUCGGGAAACCGGAGCUAAUACCGGAUAAUAUAUUGAACCGCAUGGUUCAAUAGUGAAAGACGGUUUUGCUGUCACUUAUAGAUGGAUCCGCGCCGCAUUAGCUAGUUGGUAAGGUAACGGCUUACCAAGGCAACGAUGCGUAGCCGACCUGAGAGGGUGAUCGGCCACACUGGAACUGAGACACGGUCCAGACUCCUACGGGAGGCAGCAGUAGGGAAUCUUCCGCAAUGGGCGAAAGCCUGACGGAGAAACGCCGCGUGAGUGAUGAAGGUCUUCGGAUCGUAAAACUCGGUUAUUAGGGAAGAACAAAUGUGUAAGUAACUAUGCACGUCUUGACGGUACCUAAUCAGAAAGCCACGGCUAACUACGUG